GACGAACGCUGGCGGCGUGCCUAACACAUGCAAGUCGAGCGGUAAGGCCCUUUCGGGGGUACACGAGCGGCGAACGGGUGAGCAACACGUGGGUGACCUGCCCUCAGCUCUGGGAUAAGCCUGGGAAACUGGGUCUAAUACUGGAUAUGACUCCACGGUGCAUGUCGUGGGGUGGAAANCCUUGUGCGGCUGAGGAUGGGCCCGCGGCCUAUCAGCUUGGGUGGGUGAUGGCCUACCAAGGCGACGACGGUAGCCGGCCUGAGAGGGCGGUCGGCCACACUGGCACUGACAGUACGGG
This 298-nucleotide ribosomal RNA is filed under the name uncultured bacterium. Its description in RNAcentral is "partial 16S ribosomal RNA". It matches the Rfam family "Bacterial small subunit ribosomal RNA", at positions 28 to 330 of the family's 1533-position model. The record is from RNAcentral.